GAUGAGCGCUGGCUGCGUGCCUAAUACAUGCAAGUCGAGCGAACAGACGAGGAGCUUGCUCCUCUGACGUUAGCGGCGGACGGGUGAGUAACACGUGGAUAACCUACCUAUAAGACUGGGAUAACUUCGGGAAACCGGAGCUAAUACCGGAUAAUAUAUUGAACCGCAUGGUUCAAUAGUGAAAGACGGUUUUGCUGUCACUUAUAGAUGGAUCCGCGCCGCAUUAGCUAGUUGGUAAGGUAACGGCUUACCAAGGCAACGAUGCGUAGCCGACCUGAGAGGGUGAUCGGCCACACUGGAACUGAGACACGGUCCAGACUCCUACGGGAGGCAGCAGUAGGGAAUCUUCCGCAAUGGGCGAAAGCCUGACGGAGCAACGCCGCGUGAGUGAUGAAGGUCUUCGGAUCGUAAAACUCUGUUAUUAGGGAAGAACAAAUGUGUAAGUAACUAUGCACGUCUUGACGGUACCUAAUCAGAAAGCCACGGCUAACUAC
RNAcentral lists this ribosomal RNA (494 nucleotides) under uncultured bacterium. RNAcentral describes it as "partial 16S ribosomal RNA". It matches the Rfam family "Bacterial small subunit ribosomal RNA", at positions 28 to 504 of the family's 1533-position model. The record is from RNAcentral.